RNAcentral lists this long non-coding RNA (7308 nucleotides) under Ananas comosus (pineapple). Its description in RNAcentral is "long non-coding RNA (ACOM_LNC025377)". The record is from RNAcentral. Lineage: Eukaryota; Viridiplantae; Streptophyta; Magnoliopsida; Poales; Bromeliaceae.
UUAAUUCCAGAUCAAACAAGAGUGAAGCAAUCAGUAGCGUCCAGGGGCAACAAUUGCAAAAAAGAGCGAAAACCGAUUCAAAUUCGAAACCAAGAGAAGUGAGAUCCCAGGGAUCGGUGCUGCGACAGUCGCGUGAUUCCGAUUCUUAGAAUUGUAGAGUCAAUUGCGACAUAGCUACCUGCGCUGCGAGAAUCGGCUUCGGCUGGAUCUCGACAAAAGGGGCCGCAGCGGAAUCACACUGAUUCUGAGUUUUACACAGUUCUAGCAGAGCUAAUUUCUGCUCAAUUGUGAAGCUCCCACCUGGUACCUGCGAAUAAUUCUCAAGCAGGUAGAUCCCACAUUGUAUAGCUUAGCAAAAUUGGGUCAACACGAGGCAACAGAUCUAAAUUCACUAGUAGCUUGUACAAGGCAAGAGAAGAAUUAGUUACUGUCCAGGGAUGGUAGGCAAAAUGGCUAUUGGAACAAAGUGGCAGCAACAAACUACUAGUUAUAACCAAAGCUUUGAAGGAACGUUGCAAAUUGCUAGGGAUUUCAAUCAGAAUUUAGAUAUUUUGGCGCAAAGGAUUGAAACCCUGCGGAAGGAAGAGGCAAGGAGGUACGAAAUUAUGAUGGAGGAGGAGGCCCGAAGGCAUGAACAACUCCUAGAGUUGAUUAGAAGCCGAUUUGUACAUGCUAAAGGGAAAGGGACAGUAGUGCAAGUUCCGAUAGAAAAGAAACAUCGGCAACAGUACAUGCCAUACAUGGAGAUAAGUUUCCCAGAUUUUAACGGAACAGAUCCAAAAGGAUGGUUACGAAAUUGCGAGCAGUAUUUUGACCGAUACCAAGUUCCUGAGCAACAAUGGAUAGGCAUAGCGUCCAUGCACAUAGAGGGUGAUGCACGGUUUUGGAAGCAAGCAUAUUUCUUUAACCGACCAGAGGUAAAUUGGGGCGAGUUUUCCGAUGCCAUUUGUAAAAGAUUUACAGCGACGAAAGAGAGGUACCCAACCCAAGAGUUUAGUACUUGCAAGCAAACCAAUUCUAUAGAGAGCUGCCAAAAGAAUUGUGAAGCCGCAAAGAGAUCUGAAACUAUGGUGCAGGAGGAUGAUCACAUACAUGAAGCUGGAAGUGCAGGAUCAGAGAAAGAGUGUGAUGAUUAUCUACAGUUGGAGAUCAAUAGAAAACCAGAGAUAGCAUGGAGCGAGCGUGCUAGCAAGCCAGAGGAGCUGCUGAAGCUGCUCGCAGCACAGCCACCUCUACUCAAGCCUGCUCACAAUGCCCCAAAUGCAUACACUACUUCAGCUGAAACUGAAAGUACCAUAAAAGCUGUUGCCAAUACGACUCACAAUUCCGAAGAGAGUCUUAAUCUUAAUCUUGAAGAAGGGCCUGCACCAAGUGAGCAAACAAAGAUGCAAGGGCUGUGCAAUGAAUACGGAGAGGAGUACAGCACGGGGAAGCAAUGCAAGAAUAGCUCCCUGCAUAUGUUAACGGCACAGAAAAAGGCUGAAAUGAGUGCUGGAUCCGAAGCAGCAAAAGAAGAAGGAUGGGAGCCACAACAAGUAGAAGAAGGAAAUGCUUACGACGCUGUAAGUAUCAAGGAGUCAAAUAACCAAGCCCUUCUAAGUUUGGUUGAUGAUAGAAGCAUACAUAGCCUUAUUCACUUCGGAACGGCAAAAGCUACCAAAGUGGGAUCUACUACUUUUGCACCCUUGAUAGUGAUAGCAGACCGGGAUCCCAAGAUGCUAAGCAAAGAUUCUUGUCCUCAGUUUGCAAGGAAGAAACCAGGUUACAAAUUCUUGGCUGAUUCAAGAGAAUUGAGACUCAAAAGUUCUGACAUAGCGCUUAGAAUCGAUUGGAUGAAGGAAUAUAGGCAAGUGCCUUUUGAUCCAGGACCUAACAAGGUGACAUUUCGCAGCAUUGAAGGAGAAGCCUCUCACAAAUUUAUCAUGACAAGUAAGUUACAAAAGGUAAUCCAUCAGAAAAUACGAGGUAUGCUGGGUCAAUCUGCUAUGAUUAGAAUUGGAGAAAUGGCGAAGGCGAUUACUACAGAAGGUUGCAAGAGAGUUAAUAGCAUAGGCUUAAUUGGUAUUGUUGAGGGCCUCAAUAAGCACAUCCAAAGAAGGCCAAUUGAAGCGUAUCAAGAGAGCAUUGAGAACUCAAGGAUCCAAACGCUACUUCGAAACUCUAGCCUGGAAGAAGCUUACAUUGCGUACAGCUUGGUGAAUGGGUGUAAGGAAUUAGGGUCUGUGCUUAAGAUGCCUCACCCAUGCUCGCGAUUUCUGGCCUAUGAACAAGACAAGCUGCAGGAAUCUGAUGUAAGUGAUUGCAACUUCCAUAAUGCUAACUAUGUUCAUAGUGUGAUGGUUAUAGGCAACAGCUUUCUAAGCCUGGUCGAAGGUCAAGUUCACCCUGAAAAUGGAGAAGAUCAGGAUGUAAGAGAAUUAGAAGAUGAAACUAGCUGUUCCCUCAUCAUAGCUAGGAUGGUUAUGAAGAGGUUUGCCGAUAAAAAGUGGUGUGAUGGUCUCUAUAGGCAAAAGAUUUCGAAGGAUUGUUCCGCACUUAAGAAGAAGACCAAUGGGGAGCAGAAUGAAAUCAGUCGUGAAGACCAUAUAGAGAUCAAGACUAUGGAAAAAAUCUCAGAGCUCACAUUAAGUCAGUUUGCACUUUACCACAUCUCGGAGCAGACAAGACUGGCGGCGUGCAGGUUGCGACUGCCUGAAGGUCCCGAGGGUGAGCCCUCGCCCCAACAGGUACCGCCGUCCAUGCUGCCAACCAGAGAUGAUAGGCGAGUGUGGACACGAAUUGGAAACACCUCACACCAGCACAAGGUGACGCAAGAAAACAGAACAGAGGUUUCAAUAUGGCUUAAAGGAAACAAUUCUGAAGAAGAAGAAUGUGCCGCGAGUGAAGCAAAUGAGAGCCCCAAACCAGUUCAACAAGUUCCAUCCUUGAGGACAAGGAUGAUUUUAAGGGGAGGGGAUUGUAACGACCCUGGAGAAUAAAUGGUAGAGGUAGCAGUAGCAGUAGUAAUAGUUAGCAUGGGAGAAUAGUAAAAAUAGCAACUUUACUAGUUAAAAUGGAGAAUAAAAGUGGCAGCAGCAGAAUGGUGAAGGAGCGAGCUCAGUGGGGUGAACCGGCGGCAAGGGCGUUCAGGCGGAACUCAGGCGGGCGACGAGGAAGGGUGGCGCUGCGGCCGCGGCAGCCUUCCCAGCGACUGUCUCCCUCAAGAAAGCGAAGGCGCCGGCCGCGCUCUGGAACCCGCCGCAGGCCUGCUUGAGCCUUGCGGCGAUGGUGCGAUCGGCGGCGUGGGCGAUCUGCGAGUAGACGGCGGCAGUGGGGGAAAUGGGAGGAACGCGAAGGGAGAAGGAGGUCCGACAGCAUCUACGGUUGGGGAAGAUGGAAGCCUUGCGGGUCGGAUGGGCAGAUUUCCGGAUCGGAGGCAAAACGCGAACCCAAGACCCGCCGGCAAUGGAUAGUGCGGAGAAGGCGAACCCGCAACCCGCUUGCCCGUUUACCAGACAACUUCGGACCGAACAAGCCCAGCGGAGGCCCAGCCUGCGAGUGAAUCGCGGCCCAGCCUGCUCUCACCCAGUUUACAUAUUGCUGUUUAGCCCUUAUAGGAUAGUUUACUUUAAUUUCAAUACCAGUUGUAGAGGAAUAUAUCUAACAGAAUGUCAUGAGAAGAUCAUAAAUGAAAAUGAAAUAGUCUAUUUCUCCCCCAAAGGUUCUUCUCCAAACCCUUCUUCUUCUCUAUCCCUUAUCUCUAUCCCAACUCUUUUCCCUAACCCUCACCUCUCAAUCCUCAUCUGUCUAUCUCUCUACCUCUAUUUCUCUUCUCUCUAUCUCAAUCCCAAUUUCUAUCUCUAUUUUCUUACCUCUCUAGCCUCGGUUACCGACUACGUUACCUCCGAUACGCGACCGGAAGGACCAAGAACCUGAUCCGAGCCAUAAGGGAUAUUACAAUUGGUAUCAGAGCGGCACUGUCCCAGGGCCGUGGGCGGCGGGAAUUCAACAGGAGCAAGAACGUUGGAGUUUCAGCAGCUGUGAGGAAUUACGUCGAACAAUGGAGGCGCAACAGGUAACAUCAUCCAAUUAGCAUAAUUAAGCAACAGAAGGCUCACACGAGGGUGUACGGAGGUAGUAGCAAGGACUAGUGCUGGUUCUAUUGCAAUUAGAACAGCACCAGGCCUCAGGCAAGCAUCUUUGGCACCUCGGCCGAAUUACUGUAGCAGGUGUUAAUUCCAGAUCAAACAAGAGUGAAGCAAUCAGUAGCGUCCAGGGGCAACAAUUGCAAAAAAGAGCGAAAACCGAUUCAAAUUCGAAACCAAGAGAAGUGAGAUCCCAGGGAUCGGUGCUGCGACAGUCGCGUGAUUCCGAUUCUUAGAAUUGUAGAGUCAAUUGCGACAUAGCUACCUGCGCUGCGAGAAUCGGCUUCGGCUGGAUCUCGACAAAAGGGGCCGCAGCGGAAUCACACUGAUUCUGAGUUUUACACAGUUCUAGCAGAGCUAAUUUCUGCUCAAUUGUGAAGCUCCCACCUGGUACCUGCGAAUAAUUCUCAAGCAGGUAGAUCCCACAUUGUAUAGCUUAGCAAAAUUGGGUCAACAUGAGGCAACAGAUCUAAAUUCACUAGUAGCUUGUACAAGGCAAGAGAAGAAUUAGUUACUGUCCAGGGAUGGUAGGCAAAAUGGCUAUUGGAACAAAGUGGCAGCAACAAACUACUAGUUAUAACCAAAGCUUUGAAGGAACGUUGCACAUUGCUAGGGAUUUCAAUCAGAAUUUAGAUAUUUUGGCGCAAAGGAUUGAAACCCUGCGGAAGGAAGAGGCAAGGAGGUACGAAAUUAUGAUGGAGGAGGAGGCCCGCAGGCAUGAACAACUCCUAGAGUUGAUUAGAAGUCGAUUUGUACAUGCUAAAGGGAAAGGGACAGUAGUGCAAGUUCCGAUAGAAAAGAAACAUCGGCAACAGUACAUGCCAUACAUGGAGAUAAGUUUCCCAGAUUUUAACGGAACAGAUCCAAAAGGAUGGUUACGAAAUUGCGAGCAGUAUUUUGACCGAUACCAAGUUCCUGAGCAACAAUGGAUAGGCAUAGCGUCCAUGCACAUAGAGGGUGAUGCACGGUUUUGGAAGCAAGCAUAUUUCUUUAACCGACCAGAGGUAAAUUGGGGCGAGUUUUCCGAUGCCAUUUGUAAAAGAUUUACAGCGACGAAAGAGAGGUACCCAACCCAAGAGUCUAGUGCUUGCAAGCAAACCGGUUCUUACCAAGAGAAUUGUGAAGCCAUUAAGAUGCACAAAAGCAUGAUGCAGGAGGAUGGCCGCAAGCAUGAACAACUCCUAAAUUCACCCAGGAGCCGACCUAUGCAUGAUGAAAAAAAUGAGAUAAAAGUGCAAGGUACUGAAGAGGAGUUUGGCACAAUACCUGCAUGCAAGGCUGCAGAAAGGGGAAUUAGUUCACUAACUAGUUCGGAAAACAACUCUAAGACUGAAGUAAAAAAAUUGGAGCAAAAACAGUAUCAAAAUCUGAAGAUGAAAGUAUACACAAGGUGUGACGAGGAGCUGAGAAACAGAUUUGGCAAACCGGAGGAGUUGCCGAGGUUGCAUGCAACUCAACCAUCUCUUAGUAAGCUUAUUUCAGCUAUCGCAACACCCCACUCAGAGAACAAAGGCUCAAAGGAAAACAACUUCGAAGAAAACAUCAUUCCAUCCCCUAGAAGAGCAAACAAAGAUCAAUUUCAUCAUCAGCAUCAACAGCAUAAGCUCUGGAAGCGAUCUAUAAGGCGUGGAACCGAUCAUCAUUGUCGCCAUCCAGUUCUCAGAUCGAAUUCACCAUUGAAGGUUGCGACUCAGUUCGGGACCAAAUCGGGCCUAGAUCGACCCUUGGUAACACCUCAAUCAUCAUCGCAGCCAACCAAAUCUCCGAGAUUACAAUCGGCGAUGGAUGCUACUCAGAUUGGGUUAUUACAAGCUGGAAAAGCAAAGGCAGAAAAGCGAGAUAUUGAUAACUGCAAAAAUAAACCCCCUUGGAAGAAAAUUACUGCAGAGAGGUCACUAGGGGUGAGGAGCAGGGGCUUAACUGAUGAAAAGCCAGAGAAAGCUUAUCAAGCAAGAUCUGAGGACUUCAGGGCCCACAAGUUAAUCCAAAUCUCUAACCUGGCAGAAGCCAGCAUGGUGCGCAGCGUUGCGAAUGGAUAUAAGGAGCUUAGUUCUAUGCUUGGAAGGCCUCAUCCUUGUUCACUGGCUUUGGCUUAUGAACAAACCAAACAGAAAGAAUCCAAUAAAGAAUGGGAAAUUACACUACUUGCAGAAGGCAAAUGCAGGGCAAUUACCAUUUUUACACCAAAAUGGAAACAGGAAGUGCAGGAUGGUGAUGAGGCAGGCUCCCAAGUCAAGCAAGUUACCACAGAGCUAAUAGUGUAUGCAAUCUCUAAACCCAAUUGUAACACCAAGCCUACCAACACAGCUCCAAGGAUAAAUCUGAAGCUUAUCUCAAAGUAUUAUGGGCCACUGAAGGUAUUAGAGAGGAUGGACAUGCAGUACAAGGAGCUAGGGACUGUGCUUAAGAGGCCUCACCCAUGCUCGCGAUUUCUGGCCUAUGAACAAGACAAGCUACAGGAAUCUAAUAGAAACUUGGGUGUUACCUUGCACAUAAAAGGGGGAUGCAAAGCACUUACCAUGAAUAUGUGCAGAUGGAUGCAAGCUGUGCAAAAUAGAAGUGAAGAAGACCAUCUGCUAAUUGAAUUUCAUCCUUCUAGGGCGUGGCAAGUUGAUCAGGGUAUUGAACAGUUCACUCGAUGGUCAGGAAUUGAAAGGGAUAUGCAUCAGUUAGUGCAAGAUUGUGAAGUUUGCUUAAGAUCUAAGGAAGAAAAUAGGCCCAAACAUUGCUACAAGAAGCUGAAGCUUGAAGAAUGGUGGUCCUACACUAGAUUCUACAUCUCAUCAGGAAGGGGAAUUUUACAAGGUCCGGUGGCACGCGGGUUGUCACUGCCUGAAGGUCCCAAGGGUGAGCCCCCGCCCCAGCAGGAGCCGCCGUCCAUGUUGCCAACCCGAGAUGUUAGGAGAGUGUGGACACAGUUGGAAACACCUCACGCCGGCGCGAAGCAGGGCAAGAAAACAGAACAGAUAUUAGAAGAUGGCUUAAAAAGAAGCAAUUUUGAAAAAGAAGAAUGUGCCGCGAGUGAAGCAAAUGGGAGCCCCAAACCAGUUCAACAAAGUUCCAUCCUUGAGGACAAGGAUGAUUUUAAGGGGAGGGGAUUGUAACAACCCUGAAGAAUAAAGGGUAGAAGUCGUAGUAGUAUUAAUAGUUAGAUGUAGAAGAUGAGUAAAGGUAGCAGCUUUAC